ACUUUUUUUUUUUUUUUUUUUUUUNUUUUUGUCUUUUUGGGGCUGCACCUGAGGCAUAUGGAGAUUCCUAGGCUAGGGGUUGAAUCGGAGCUGUAGCCGCUGGCCUACACCAUAGCCGCAGCAAUGCCAGAUCCAAGCCAUGUCUGCGACCUACACCACAGCUCAUGGCAAUGCCAGAUCCUUAACCCACUGAGCGAGGCCAGGGAUCGAACUUGUGUCCUCAUGGAUGCUAGUCAGAUUCAUUUCCACUGAGCCAUGACGGUCAUUCCCAAUGAUUAUUUUUAAAAGAUUAAUAUUUAUUUACAAAAUAUUCAUGUUUCUGAGUUGUGACAGACUAGCAAGACUUCACAAGAAUAGAAAAACUUGGGAAAAUUCUGUAUUAUUGGUGAAUAUCUUCAAUUUUAUGUUCUUCAAUUAAAAAGAGAACCACAAGACUGGAGACAUGGUGUGUUAGUUUGCAAGGGCUGUGGUUACAAAGUAUUACAAACUAGCUAGCUUUAUGUAAGAGAAAUUUGUCUCAUAGUUCCAGAAGGUAAAAGUCCUAGUUAAACUGUGGCAGGUUGGAUGCUUCUCAAGACAGAGAGAGAUUUGAUCUAACUCUCUUUUCUUUGGCUUGUAGAUGGACUUUAUGUUCAUAUCAGGUUUUUCCUAUAUAUACACUGUGUCUGAACAUCUUUGAGAAGGACAUCAGUCAUGUUGGAUUAGGUACCUCCCCCUACUUCAGUAUAACCUCAUUUUGAAAAAAAAUUACUAUAAUUGAUUUACAAUGUUCUGUCAAUUUCUGCUGUAAGUAUAACCUCAUUUUAACUUAACCAAGUACAUUUUCAAUGAUUCUAUUUUCAGAAGAUCAUAUACUGAGGUAUUGGUGGUUAGGGUUUCAACAUAUGAGUUUUGGCAGAAGCAAAACUCAACCCCUCAUAAAAUCCAAUUCAGAGAAACCAUAGUGCAUUUUGAGAGAGAUUUUGUUUGUUUUUGUCUUUUUCUCUCUUUAGAGCCUCACCCAUGGCAUGUGGAUGUUCCCAGGCUAGGGGUCAAAUUGGAGCUGUAGCUGCCAGCCUAUGCCAGAGCCACAGCAAUGCACCAUCUGAGCCGCGUCUGCAACCUACACCACAGCUCACAGCAGUGCCUGAUCCUUAACCCACUGAGCAAGGCUAGGAAUUGAACCUGCCUCCUCAUGUAUGCUAGUUGGGUUCUUUAACCACUGAGCCAUGGCAGGAACUCCUGAGAGAGAGAUUUUAUAUUAAUGUAAUAUUAAUCUUAAUUUUUUAUGAAAAAGAAAUUGCUUAGAUAUAUUUGAAAACUUUUGCAAAGAUGCAUCUUAAAAUAUGCAAAAGAGUAAUUUAUCAGUUUUCUAAUUAUGAAUCAUUAUCUAUAUAGUUCAAAUGUCCUUGCAUUUUUCAAGUAACUACACUGAAUCGAGUUUUUUCUGACCUUUGAUUAAAAUAUUUGCAUUUUAAAAUUUUUCCAUAUAUCUCACAUAUGAAAUUAAGCAGAGAUAUCUGAUUUACCCAGCUAACUAAAGAGCUCUUAUAUCCCUAAUGGUUUAAUCCCAUGAAUAAAUACCUAAUGUUAAAAUUUGAUUUUGGCAUAGGAGUACAUAAAAAUUUAUAUUCCCUUUAUAUUCCAUUCCUUCCUAUAUUUUUUACAAUAAAAUUAUUGCUCAAUGCUUUUAGAAUUUACUGUGAAUUAGAUCUCAAGACUUUAAACUUAUCCAUAAUCAUAGACACAUCAUAGUGUUUUACAUAGUGAGAAUUACUUCCUUCAGCAGAAUAAAUUUCUCACUUUACCUCCUCAUAGUUUAUCUAUUCAAGAACAAAAACAUUACCACAUACAGUACUGUAAUAGUCAUGUUAUUAUUCAUUUGUAUAAAGUCAUAAAUGCAUAACUAGAAAUAAUUCAACUCACUUAUGUAUGCAACCAGAAAGUCUAUGUUUGUCCAAACCAAUAACAAGUUUUAGAGGUUUUUUUAAAUCUGUUAUCUCACAAAAUGGAACUUUUUGCAAUAGUUUUUUUCAGAUUUUUCUCAGAUUCAUGUCUGUCAAAUAACUAAGAUGUAUCCAAUGUGUUUUUUUGUUUUGUUUUAUUUAUGGCCGCAUCCAUGGCAUAUAGAACUUCCCCAGGCCAGGGAUCUAAUCUGAGCUGCAACUGUGACCUAUGCCAUUGCUGCAGCAAUUCUGGAUCCUUUAACCCACUGUGCUAGGCCAGGAAUCAAACUGGUGUCUCUGCAGCAACCAGAGUCACUGUAGUCGGAUUCUUAACCCCACUGAAGCAGGGACUCCAUAUCCAUAGUUCUUAUGGUCAACAUUUACCAAAAUCCACAUUUUCUUACUGUAAAAAUUUGUUUUGGUGUGCUAGAAUUUCUUUAGGGCCAUUUUUGUAUCUUCUUUGUAUACUGGUAAUUGGUACUUCACUUUUUUUUCUGUGAGACACAUAUCAAGGAUUGUAUUUACCUCAGUUAUCUUGGAGCAAAAGGAACCAGCAGAAUACAACCAUGUAAUAGACAAAUAUAAAUACAGACUAGUAAUAAAUGGUUGCAUUAAAAUAAAGAGGUAAAAGUCCUAAAACAAGUCACCUGAUUGACCCAAUGGUCCUUCCUUUCUCCCCUGCCACACACACACAUUCACUCUCUAUCUUUGAUUGCCUAGGUGAUAGUCCCCAUGUGAUACUGACCUUGGGAUUUUGUGCCAUUUUUAUAUGCUGAAUCAUUAGUGCCUAAAAUUCAUUUGUUGAAGCCCUAAACUUCAGGAUCUUAGAAUGUGACUAUAGUGAGAGACAGGGCCUUCAAAGAGAUAAUUAAUGUAAAAUAAGGUCAUAUGUGCAAACCCUAUUCCAAAAUAAUUACUGUUAUAUUAGAGGUUAGGAGGCAGACCAGGGGAUAACUGUAAGCACAGAGAGAUGGCCAUCCCUAAGCCAAGGAGAGAGGCUUUUGGAAGAAACCAGACCUACUGACAUCUUGAUCUUGAACUUCUAGCCUCUUGCACUGUGAAAAAAUUAAUUUCUGUUGUUUAAACCACACAAUCUCAGUUAUCUUGGAGCAAAAGGAACCAGCAGAAUACAACCAUGUAAUAGACAAAUAUAAAUACAGACUAGUAAUAAAUGGUUGCAUUAAAAUAAAGAGUAGUUUAUUAUGGCAGCCCUAGCAAACUAAUACACCACCAACUCUUUUUU
RNAcentral lists this long non-coding RNA (3168 nucleotides) under Sus scrofa (pig). RNAcentral's name for it is "lncRNA (ENSSSCG00030015692.1)". The record is from RNAcentral. Lineage: Eukaryota; Metazoa; Chordata; Mammalia; Artiodactyla; Suidae.